UAACGACUCUCGGCAACGGAUAUCUUGGCUCUCGCAUCGAUGAAGAACGUAGCGAAAUGCGAUACUUGGUGUGAAUUGCAGAAUCCCGUGAACCAUCGAGUUUUUGAACGCAAGUUGCGCCCCAAGCCGUUAGGCUGAGGGCACGUCUGCCUGGGUGUC
Molecule: ribosomal RNA, 159 nt
Filed under: Floerkea proserpinacoides
Lineage: Eukaryota; Viridiplantae; Streptophyta; Magnoliopsida; Brassicales; Limnanthaceae
Description: 5.8 ribosomal RNA
Rfam family: 5.8S ribosomal RNA
About the family: 5.8S ribosomal RNA (5.8S rRNA) is a component of the large subunit of the eukaryotic ribosome. It is transcribed by RNA polymerase I as part of the 45S precursor that also contains 18S and 28S rRNA.
Source: RNAcentral